UGGGGAUUAGUUUAAUGGUAGAACAGCGCUCUCUGACAGCGUUAGUCGAGGUUCGAGCCCUUGAUCCCCAGCCA
Molecule: transfer RNA, 74 nt
Filed under: Verrucomicrobiaceae bacterium
Lineage: Bacteria; Pseudomonadati; Verrucomicrobiota; Verrucomicrobiia; Verrucomicrobiales; Verrucomicrobiaceae
Description: tRNA-Gln
Rfam family: tRNA
About the family: Transfer RNA (tRNA) molecules are approximately 80 nucleotides in length. Their secondary structure includes four short double-helical elements and three loops (D, anti-codon, and T loops).
Source: RNAcentral